GAUGAACGCUGGCGGCAUGCCUAAUACAUGCAAGUCGAACGGGAUAUCUUCGGAUAUCCAGUGGCGAACGGGUGAGUAACACGUAGGUAACCUGCCCAUGUGCCCGGGAUAACGCCUGGAAACGGGUGCUAAAACCGGAUAGGUAUCGCUCCUGCAUGGAAGAGAUAUUAAAGGAGCUGCAAGGCUCUGAACAUGGAUGGACCUGCGGUGCAUUAGCUGGUUGGUGAGGUAACGGCCCACCAAGGCGACGAUGCAUAGCCGGCCUGAGAGGGUGAACGGGCCACAUUGGGACUGAGACACGGCCCAAACUCCUACGGGAGGCAGCAGUAGGGAAUUUUUCGUCAAUGGGGGCAACCCUGAACGAGCAACGCCGCGUGAGUGAUGACGGCCUUCGGGUUGUAAAGCUCUGUUGCGGGGAAAACGCGCGUGGGAGGAAUGCCGCGCGUUGAUGGUACCCCGCCAGAAAAGUGACGGCUAACUACGUGACAGCAGCCGCCGCGGGUAAC
This 506-nucleotide ribosomal RNA is filed under the name uncultured bacterium. RNAcentral describes it as "bacterial SSU rRNA". It matches the Rfam family "Bacterial small subunit ribosomal RNA", at positions 28 to 535 of the family's 1533-position model. The record is from RNAcentral.